This 474-nucleotide ribosomal RNA is filed under the name uncultured bacterium. RNAcentral describes it as "bacterial SSU rRNA". It matches the Rfam family "Bacterial small subunit ribosomal RNA", at positions 29 to 490 of the family's 1533-position model. The record is from RNAcentral.
AUUGAACGCUGGCGGAAUGCUUUACACAUGCAAGUCGAACGGCAGCACGGGUGCUUGCACCUGGUGGCGAGUGGCGAACGGGUGAGUAAUGCACCGGAACGUAUCCAAUAAUGGGGGAUAACGCACCGAAAGGUGUGCUAAUACCGCAUACGCCCUGAGGGGGAAAGCGGGGGAGUCGUAAGACCUCGCGUUAAUGGAGCGGCCGAUGCCGGAUUAGCUAGUUGGUGAGGUAACGGCUUACCAAGGCGACGAUCUGUAGCGGGUCUGAGAGGAUGAUCCGCCACACUGGAACUGAGACACGGUCCAGACUCCUACGGGAGGCAGCAGUGGGGAAUUUUGGACAAUGGGCGCAAGCCUGAUCCAGCCAUGCCGCGUGAGUGAAGAAGGCCUCGGUUGUAAGUACUCUUUCGGUCCGGGAAGGAAGUACGCAUGGUUAAGUACCUCGUGUGGAGUGACGGUACCGGAAGUAAGAAG